This is a long non-coding RNA of Ruditapes philippinarum (Manila clam), 3558 nucleotides long. RefSeq lists it as uncharacterized. The record is from RefSeq and is a predicted model, not a curated record. The transcript is spliced from 2 exons. NCBI's taxonomy places the organism in Eukaryota, Metazoa, Mollusca, Bivalvia, Venerida, Veneridae.
UAUCUGUCGUUUUAGACUUGAGUAGGUUUUCUGAUUUUAAUGAGAAAAUUUACAUGUAUAUGGUAAUUUUUAGUAAGAUUACAAAUUUGUAAUUGUUUUUUUACUGUCCAUAAGAAGCAUAACGUCUGUGUUUCACAUGAUAGAAAAAUAGCCAGCAAUGCUUAAAGAAAUUCUGUGAAACCAUCCAUUUAUGUUACAUUUGUAUAUCCCAAUGAAAGAUUUGUCCCUGGUAAUAAAAUAAAUAAUACAAAGAUUUUAUAACCAUUAUUUAAAUUUAUUAUGAGUCUCUGUCAUGGUCGUCUUACCAGAACUUGACUGUAUCUAAAACUUUUGUUAACAUAUUAUUAGUUAUAGACUGGAAUUCAAACAUUUGCAGAAGAGGAUCACUUUGUCACCAUAAUGCAGUAACAGAUUAAACUCCUUUUACAUUUAAUAGGAGUUAAACUGUUACUGCACUAAUAAGAUGAUUUGAAAAAUAUUAAAAGGAUGCACCACUGGUAUAUUUGUUAUGAUGAUUUUGUUAUAAAUUGAUUGUAUUUAAAUUAUAGCUAUUAUACAUACUAUAUUCUGUUAUAUGAUAUACUAAUUUAUAAAAUAUGACUCUGUUAGAAUAAGAAUUAAUCAUAUUAUUGAAAAUAGUUUUACUCAAAUAUUCAUUCAUUUUUAAGGCAUGUUAUUUCAUUAUUUACAUUGUAUAACUUGUUGGUAUUCAGACAGUCAUUUAUUUAAGUAAAAAAAUGUGUGACUAAAACAGACAUAAAUAUUAGGAAAUGUGUCAUUGAAGAAUUUAUUUAACUGCAUGUGUUGCUUGAACAUUCAUUUAGAUAAAAUGUGGUACAGGAACAGUCAUUCAUUCAAGUAAAUUUGGUACAUGAACAAAAAUUUAUUUAAGGGAACUUGUUACUUAAAUGGUCCUUCAAUUAAGGAUACAUGUUCUUUAGCAGUAUAAACGUAAGGAAGCAGAAACUAAAUCAUUUAAGGAAACAUGUUAUUAAAACAGUUUUUCAUUUAAGGAAAAGUGUGACUUGAAAAGUUUUUCACUUAAGGAAAAUGUUACUAGAAAAGUCAUUCAUUUAAGGAAAAGUGUUACUAGAAAAGUUUUUUUUCAUUUAAGGAAAAGUGUUACUAGAAAAGUCAUUGAUUUAAGGAAAAGUGUUACUAGAAAAGUCAUUGAUUCAAGGAAAAGUGUUACUAGAAAAGUCAUUCUUUUAAGGAAUCAUGUUACUAGAAAAGUCAUUCGUGUUACUAGAAAAGUCAUCUGUAUAAGGUGUUACUAGAAAAGUCAUUCAUUUAAGGAAUCAUGUUAUUAAGGAAAUGUAUUUUCAAGAUAAGGUUGUGUUCAGUAUAUAAAAAUAGUGUUACACUUUUGAGUGCUUGUUUUAGUUAUUUUAUAAAUAGCCCAUGUCACCAUUAUAGUCAGGCCAGCUUGCUCAUCCAUAUAGUCUUAUAAUGUCAAUAUUGUUAAAAGGACUCCACUGAGGUCCAAAAGUCUAAAAAGUAAAAAAAAAUAAAAUUCUUUCAUAGAUCAACUGGGAAACUCAAAAGUGGAAAAAUAAGCAAAAGAUAAUAUAAUAAUAUAGUUAGAAUUUAACUGAAAAUGGAUUUUUUUUUGUACCAUUCUUAGCUCUAUAUAGAUUUGAGUUGAAAGUGUUUAAAGGCUUUUCACUUUUAUAUGCCCGAAAGAAUAUCGGGCAUAUUAUGUUAUACCCCCUGGUGUCUGUCCGUCUGUUCGUCCGUGCUAUUUAAGAGAAGUAGGCCAUCUUACUGUAAAGAGAACAAAAGAGAACAAUAGAGUUCAUUCCAUAACAAUAGAAUAAGAGGCCAUGGACUUCUAUUUAAAAAAAGAAAAUAACAAAAGAAAUGGCCCCUUAGUCCAUUUAAGUGGCACGUCCAUUGAGUAAGUCUGUCUGUCUGUCUGUUCGUCUGUUAGCAAUUUGGUUUCAGGAGCAGAACUUAAGUUCCAUUUGGCCAACAAUACUCAAAUUUCAUAGGAUGAUUGUCCUUAUUGGGUAGAAGACCCCUCUUGAUUUUGGGGUCACUAGGUCUAAGGUCAAGGUCACUAUUAAAUUAAAACAGUUUCCGGAGCAUUACUUAAGUUCCAUUUGGCCCAUAGUGUUCAAACGUCAUAGGAUGAUUGUCAAUAUUGGGUAGAAAACCCCUGUCAAUAUUGGGUAGAAAACCCCUAUUGAUACUUUAUUAGAUUCCCAUGUCUUACAAAUGCUUCAUCCUUACUAAAAAAAACACCUUCGGGCGUAUAAUGCUCUGCCUAGCAGUGCUCUUGUUGGAUUAUUUUACAAAAUAAAAAAUGCUGUUAUUUUGAAAAAUACGGAGUAAGUGAAUGAUCUGAAAUUUUGCAGACUUGUUUUUUGGUCCAAACCUACAUCUUACUUUACACAAAUAAAAGAAUAAAAUUCAGUCCCGCAAUGUGAAGAAAUCUCAGUGGAGUCCCUUUAAUGAUCAUAGAUGUAUAAACAUGUCACCAUAGAGUAAGAACAGUUAAUCUACCUAAUUUAGUGAUAUAAUGUUUUUGACAUACUGUUGAGAAGGGAUGGACAUUUUAAUGCUUAUAAACGGGUCCUUAAAAACAUUUCUUUUUCUCAAAUAUGUAUAUUUAUCUUCUUAUAUACACGUAUAAUGUAUUGGUAUACAUGUAUAUUUGGAUACUAUAUCUGUAUAAUAAGAAAUAAUUAUGUAAAUGAACUAGGAAGGAAGUUUUUCACUAUAAUAGUGAGCGAAAUUUUUUAGUUUAAAAAAUGUAUGAAUGUUGUAUAAACGACAAUAAAUUUCAGUAAAUUAUUAUUACAUUAGUAAGAGCAAUAUAAACAAGGUAUAUUCUGUUUAUAAACAAACUACAUGUACGUUUUGAGGUCAGACAUUUGUGUAAUUGUUGGUAAUUGCGAGUAAUAGUGUGAUUUCAAGUUGACAAAACUCAUUUAGAGCCAAAACAAAAAAAAUAAGAUAUUGUAAGGUCAUUAUGUCAAAGUCACUCAUAAUUCAUGACUAUGGUAUCUAACAUUUGAAAUUUAUUCCAGUAAAUCUGCCCUGCAGUCAUAAAGGAUCUUAUUAUAACCCUAAACAUGCUGAAACCAAAAAAGAAAAAAAAAAGAGAUACCACACGGCAAUUUUGUUUUGGAAACAUGUAUGUAUUCAUUCAUGUAUUUUUCUGUGAAAACUAUUGUAGAUUACAAACUCAUAAUUUCUACUUUUUGUGGUUAAUUUUAGGAUAUUUUCAAAUUUUCAUGCUUUCUGAUUGGUUGAACAUUUUUUGACCAAUCACAAGAAUGUUUAUUUUUAGAUUUUUUAGUGGAGAAGAUAUAAAGUGCCACUGGGCACAUAAGUAUGAUAUAUGUUUUAUUGAUAUUCAAGGUAAUUAAACCUAUAUACAGCAUUUUGUUGUAAUAAAUCUAAAUGUUUUGUAUUUAUUACUAAGAAGUGUAAAUGUGUACUAUAUUUAGAUUAUAUGACUUUGUUGUGUGUAUAUAUUGGAUUAUUGUGAGUUAUUAUUGUCUAAUGUAUAUUAUUAAAAGUUUAUUACUAUUAAAAUCUCCUGGAUAUAAU